Molecule: long non-coding RNA, 1107 nt
Organism: Bubalus bubalis (water buffalo)
Lineage: Eukaryota; Metazoa; Chordata; Mammalia; Artiodactyla; Bovidae
Exons: 3
Source: RefSeq, a predicted model, not a curated record
CCUCCUCCAGAGGAUCUUCCUGACCCAGGGAUCGAACCUGCAUCUCUUACUUCACCUGCAUUGGCAGGUGGCUUCUUUACCACUAGUGCCACCUGGAAAGCCCUAGUGAAGGCUGUACCUUCCUUUAGAAAGCUUUCUAUGACUUCCUGGGCUGGAUUAAGUACCCUCCAUUUGCUCCCACAAAACACAUUAUCUAUUCCCCCACGAUACUUUUGUGAAAUUCAUUCAUGUCACUGUAAGUAGUUGUAGUUUGUUCACUCUCAUUUCUCUAUUCAAGUCAUCAAAAUAUUUCACAAUUUUCACAAUUGUUAUUGAAUAAUUACUCCAGAUACUGGUUAAUGUGUGUAGUGCUUCUGUUAGCAUUCUUGUGCAUGUGUUUUGGUAAACAUGCACUCAUUUCUGUCGGGUAUAUAUCUAGGACUGUAACUGCUCAAUCAUAGGAGGAGGUAGGCAGCAUAAUAAAAGCAGCCGUUUAGAAUCCUUGCCCUAAUGAUAGGUUUUCCAGGUGGGCUUUGUAAUAGGGAGAUAACCAGGUGGGCCUAAUAUAAUCACAGCUGCUUUCAAAGCAAGUGCUUUCUUCAUCUGGGAGCAGACAAGGGAGUCAGACAUGAAGCGCAAGGAAUACUUGCUGUGUUGUUGGGAGCUUGAGGAUACAGGGGUCCACCUUGCAAGGACUGGAAAGUGGCCUCUAGAAGCAGAGGAUGGCCUUAGCUGGCCCCCAGCAAGGAAACAGGGCAUCGGCCCUACAACAUCAAAGUCCUGAAUUUUGCCAACAGUGAGUUAGGGAUGUGGGGUUCUCCCCAAAGCCUCUAGAUGAGGACUCAUCCUCCCCAACGCCUUGAUUUCAGCCUUGUGAUAUUCUGAGCAGAUCACCCAGCCACUCUGUGGUGGACUUCUGAUCUACAGAACUUUUAUACACAAGCAUCUGAGAAGAUGCUGCUUCAAAAAGACCCUGUGAUCCAUUUGUCAUUUGAGGAUUCCUGUGCAGUGCAGCCCCUGUCACCUUCACGUUUCUCUGUAGGAGAGAUGUUCAGAUACUAAUGGGAGUGCAAAGAGGAGGAUGGCCAACCACCAUCCAAGCAGUGAAUUCAUUGCCUUGAGGAUGGA